This is a long non-coding RNA of Pezoporus occidentalis (night parrot), 1903 nucleotides long. RefSeq lists it as uncharacterized. Lineage: Eukaryota; Metazoa; Chordata; Aves; Psittaciformes; Psittacidae. The transcript has 3 exons. The record is from RefSeq and is a predicted model, not a curated record.
UUAAAUGAUUUAUUAAUUUAUUUAAACUGCUCCUUAAACCUUUUCAAACUUAAUGUAAUGUGCUGAAUCCAUAGUAACAGCAUGAAUACCUAACAGCAUAAGAAAGUUAAGAUAGAAAAUGAACAAUUCAGCUGUCAAUAACAUACUAUUUGAUUACCAAGCUUUCCUAAGCAUAUCCUUCAAACUUGUGUGUUUUAUUUUUGUUGUAUGAUUAUCUGAGGAAUAUCUUCCAUGAGAGUUUUUUGAUAUAAAAUCAGAUCAAUAUAAAGCACUUAGAUUAAUUUUCUGUAUAUAUUACCUGAUCCUUUCUGAAAACUGGAUGCUUGAGUUGGCACAUUUUGCCUCUAGACGUUCCAAUUUGAAUAUGUAAGAUUCUGCCCCUUCUCUCUGAUUCUGGGAAUGCAUAAUUUCCAAAGCUGCUCAAGAGCUCAGAAAGAUGCAACUAAAUUGUUUGUUCUGAAUAUUCAGUAUAUUUAGAAAAAUCUGUUUCAUCCCUAUUCCCCAAAUUUUCAUCCUUUUUUUAAUUGGCGGCGGGGGGGGAAGUCAUGACAAGAUGAAGCUUUUAACGUAAACCUGAAAUAAAAAAAAUGUAUUUUUUAAAGCAUAAGAUGCUCUGUAAAGCACUUUAAUAUUUUUCCUGAUUAGUGUAUUCAUUACUACUGUUGUAGCUAAUUACUUGCAAUACUACUUCAUGUCUAUGGCUCAAAAUACUGAAUUCUGAAAUAGUUUGUGCUUGAUUCCAGUGGCAGGUCAUUGUCUGGGAAUGAGAUUUUCAGGUAUAGCUUUCCUCACAGGUUCUCAUCUAUUGCCACCUGCCUAAAUCUGACAGUUGAGCACCAGCUGGGAGUUUUGACCCGGAGAAGCAUAAAAGGGCUGGAGAGAGACAAAAUGAUCCAUCAAGUCCUACUUUGAGACUACUUGAGUAUCUGUUUACAUUACACUUGUGCUUGCUGUAUUAAUGCCCUGCUUCAGAAUUGCUAUUUACCUGUAGGACUGGGGAAGGAAUUUCCCUUCCUUGGCUUCUGAAAGGUUUUCAGCAAUUGUGUGAAAAUCAGCUCAGAACUUCUUUUUGUUCCUGUGGAUGCUAUCAGCACUUGGAGACCAGGGCCUCCAUGGAGAGGGAAGGGAAUGCCAAAGCAAUGCAGGCUCGUAGUUUAACUCACUGGCAUGUGUAAGAUCAAAAGAGGAGGAAAAAUUUUCUUCCUUUCAGGUAAAUUGGGGUGUGUCACCCUAUUGAUACUCUGAGAGUAUGUUGUGUAGAGUUUAGGAGCUUUUAGUAUUGGGUUGCGGCUGGGUUUUUUGGUUUUGUUGUUUGGUUUUGGGUGUGUUGUCAUUGUAGUGCUUGGUAUAAAGGUGGUUUCUUGAUUUAUUUUCUCUAUGCAAAUUACUGGGUGUAAAGGCAAAGUAUUAAAAUAUCCUCUUCACUUUGAUAUUGAUACAGCUCUUGGAUCUUUCUCUCUUCCAGGGUAAAUAAAGAUAACAGUGUGGAGUAGACUUCCCAAAAUUCAAGAAUAUUUGGACCUUGUGUUCUGUUCUAAGCCUCUCUUGAGCAAACAUGCUUCCCUUUCUAAAUUAUUUUGCUGAGUGUUAUGGCUGGAAGAUUCAUAUAACAGAAUCUUGAGGUGACCUGACAAGACAAAUCUGGUGAAAUAUUAAAGUUUGUUUUCUAAAGAUUUAAACAGAUGUGUACCUAUAACAAUCUGUCAUAAAACCAUGCCUUUUGAAUGUUUAUUUUGUGUAUUUUAUGGUUUCUUCUAUGGAAUAAAGUAGCAUUGUGCAUUAGGAUCAGAGGGGCAUUUCCCAUAGUUCGGUGGUAUCUCAGUAGCAAGUAGAAAUUUUACAGAUGUAGAUUGUAUAAGUGUAUAUAGAAUCAUAGAAUCAACUAGGUUGGGAAAGACCUUUA